Molecule: ribosomal RNA, 256 nt
Filed under: uncultured bacterium
Lineage: Bacteria
Description: partial 16S ribosomal RNA
Rfam family: Bacterial small subunit ribosomal RNA
Source: RNAcentral
UACGGAGGGUGCAAGCGUUAAUCGGAAUUACUGGGCGUAAAGCGUGCGUAGGCGGUUCGUUAAGUCUGUUGUGAAAGCCCCGGGCUCAACCUGGGAAUGGCAAUGGAUACUGGCGAGCUAGAGUGUGUCAGAGGAUGGUGGAAUUCCCGGUGUAGCGGUGAAAUGCGUAGAGAUCGGGAGGAACAUCAGUGGCGAAGGCGGCCAUCGUGGGACAACACUGACGCUGAGGCACGAAAGCGUGGGGAGCAAACAGGAU